GGGGAUAUAGCUCAGUUGGUAGAGCACUUGCCUAGCAUGUGAAAAUCCCUGGGUUCAAUCCCCAAGACCACCA
RNAcentral lists this transfer RNA (73 nucleotides) under Ictidomys tridecemlineatus (thirteen-lined ground squirrel). Its description in RNAcentral is "Spermophilus tridecemlineatus (thirteen-lined ground squirrel) tRNA". It matches the Rfam family "tRNA". From Rfam's summary of the family: Transfer RNA (tRNA) molecules are approximately 80 nucleotides in length. Their secondary structure includes four short double-helical elements and three loops (D, anti-codon, and T loops). The record is from Rfam by way of RNAcentral. RNAcentral also lists the same sequence under 1 other name. Lineage: Eukaryota; Metazoa; Chordata; Mammalia; Rodentia; Sciuridae.